Molecule: ribosomal RNA, 460 nt
Filed under: uncultured bacterium
Lineage: Bacteria
Description: partial 16S ribosomal RNA
Rfam family: Bacterial small subunit ribosomal RNA
Source: RNAcentral
CCUACGGGAGGCAGCAGUGAGGAAUAUUGGUCAAUGGACGAGAGUCUGAACCAGCCAAGUAGCGUGAAGGAUGACUGCCCUAUGGGUUGUAAACUUCUUUUAUAUGGGAAUAAAAUGUUCCACGUGUGGGAUUUUGUAUGUACCAUAUGAAUAAGGAUCGGCUAACUCCGUGCCAGCAGCCGCGGUAAUACGGAGGAGCCGAGCGUUAUCCGGAUUUAUUGGGUUUAAAGGGAGCGUAGGUGGAUUGUUAAGUCAGUUGUGAAAGUUUGCGGCCUAACCGUAAAAUUGCAGUUGAAACUGGCAGUCUUGAGUACAGUAGAGGUGGGCGGAAUUCGUGGUGUAGCGGUGAAAUGCUUAGAUAUCACGAAGAACUCCGAUUGCGAAGGCAGUUCACUGGACUGCAACUGACACUGAGGCUCGAAAGUGUGGGUAUCAAACAGGAUUAGAUACCCUAGUAGUC